GCCAUGAAUGUAUACCCUGAAUGUACCAGAUCUCAUCUGGUCUUGGAAGCUAAGUAGAGUCAUGCCUGGUUAGUAUUUGGAUGGGAAGAUGUAGGGCUUUGGGAAGUGAUGAGGCCAUGAUGGUA
Molecule: ribosomal RNA, 125 nt
Filed under: Microcebus murinus (gray mouse lemur)
Lineage: Eukaryota; Metazoa; Chordata; Mammalia; Primates; Cheirogaleidae
Source: RNAcentral